AGUGGAAUAGCUGGGCCAAAUGGCAGUUCCAUUCUUAGUUUUUUAAGAAAUCUCCAUACUGCUUUCCAGAAUGGUUGCACCAAUUUGCAGUCUUACCAACAGU
This 103-nucleotide microRNA precursor is filed under the name Marmota monax (woodchuck). Lineage: Eukaryota; Metazoa; Chordata; Mammalia; Rodentia; Sciuridae. The record is from RNAcentral.